RNAcentral lists this transfer RNA (70 nucleotides) under Cavia porcellus (domestic guinea pig). It matches the Rfam family "tRNA". From Rfam's summary of the family: Transfer RNA (tRNA) molecules are approximately 80 nucleotides in length. Their secondary structure includes four short double-helical elements and three loops (D, anti-codon, and T loops). Further hydrogen bonds mediate the characteristic L-shaped molecular structure. tRNAs have two regions of fundamental functional importance: the anti-codon, which is responsible for specific mRNA codon recognition, and the 3' end, to which the tRNAs corresponding amino acid is attached (by aminoacyl-tRNA synthetases). tRNAs cope with the degeneracy of the genetic code in two manners: having more than one tRNA (with a specific anti-codon) for a particular amino acid; and 'wobble' base-pairing, i.e. permitting non-standard base-pairing at the 3rd anti-codon position. The record is from Rfam by way of RNAcentral. Lineage: Eukaryota; Metazoa; Chordata; Mammalia; Rodentia; Caviidae.
GGGGAUUUAGCUCAGCAGCAUAAGCGCCUGCCUUGCAAGCAGGCAGUCGUGAGUUCAAGUUCGAUCCCCG